Molecule: ribosomal RNA, 661 nt
Filed under: uncultured Gemmatimonas sp.
Lineage: Bacteria; Pseudomonadati; Gemmatimonadota; Gemmatimonadia; Gemmatimonadales; Gemmatimonadaceae
Description: bacterial SSU rRNA
Rfam family: Bacterial small subunit ribosomal RNA
Source: RNAcentral
CGUGCUACACAUGCAGUCGAACGGACCCGCAAGGGUCAGUGGCAAACGGGUGCGUAACACGUGAGGAACCUGUCCAACGGUGGGGGAUAGCCGGCCCAACGGCCGGGUAAUACCGCGUACGACCUUCGGGGGGCAUCCCCUGGGGGUGAAAGCAGCAAUGCGCCGAUGGAGGGCCUCGCGGCCUAUCAGCUAGUUGGUGAGGUAACGGCUCACCAAGGCGACGACGGGUAGCUGGUCCGAGAGGAUGACCAGCCACAUUGGGACUGAGACACGGCCCAGACUCCUACGGGAGGCAGCAGUGGGGAAUAUUGCGCAAUGGGCGAAAGCCUGACGCAGCGACGCCGCGUGUGGGAUGAAGGUCUUCGGAUUGUAAACCACUGUCGGGAGGGGCGAAGCUCUGACGGUACCUCCAAAGGAAGCACCGGCUAACUCUGUGCCAGCAGCCGCGGUAAUACAGAGGGUGCAAGCGUUGUCCGGAAUCACUGGGCGUAAAGGGCGCGUAGGCGGCCCGGUAAGUAGGGGGUGAAAUUCUGCGGCUCAACCGCAGGACUGCCUCCUAAACUGCCAGGCUUGAGCACGGUAGAGGCUGGUGGAAUUCCCGGUGUAGCGGUGGAAUGCGUAGAGAUCGGGAAGAACAUCGGUGGCGAAGGCGGCCAGCUGG